RNAcentral lists this ribosomal RNA (538 nucleotides) under uncultured bacterium. RNAcentral's name for it is "partial 16S ribosomal RNA". It matches the Rfam family "Bacterial small subunit ribosomal RNA", at positions 355 to 888 of the family's 1533-position model. The record is from RNAcentral.
UGGGGAAUUUUGGACAAUGGGCGAAAGCCUGAUCCAGCAAUGCCGCGUGUGUGAAGAAGGCCUUCGGGUUGUAAAGCACUUUUGUCCGGAAAGAAAUCCUUGGCUCUAAUACAGUCGGGGGAUGACGGUACCGGAAGAAUAAGCACCGGCUAACUACGUGCCAGCAGCCGCGGUAAUACGUAGGGUGCAAGCGUUAAUCGGAAUUACUGGGCGUAAGCGUGCGCAGGCGGUUUGCUAAGACCGAUGUGAAAUCCCGGGCUCAACCUGGGAACUGCAUUGGUGACUGGCAGGCUAGAGUAUGGCAGAGGGGGGUAGAAUUCCACGUGUAGCAGUGAAAUGCGUAGAGAUGUGGAGGAAUACCGAUGGCGAAGGCAGCCCCCUGGGCCAAUACUGACGCUCAUGCACGAAAGCGUGGGGAGCAAACAGGAUUAGAUACCCUGGUAGUCCACGCCCUAAACGAUGUCAACUAGUUGUUGGGGAUUCAUUUCCUUAGUAACGUAGCUAACGCGUGAAGUUGACCGCCUGGGGAGUACGGUCG